GUGUUCACUUUGUCAGCACAUGUACUAAAAUUGUCAAUGAUACACAGAUCAGCCUGGCCCCUGCACAAGAAUGACGGCAUACUUGAGAAGCAUUCCGUGUUUUU
Small nuclear RNA from Sorex fumeus (smoky shrew), 104 nucleotides. NCBI's taxonomy places the organism in Eukaryota, Metazoa, Chordata, Mammalia, Eulipotyphla, Soricidae. The record is from RefSeq and is a predicted model, not a curated record.